Molecule: non-coding RNA, 72 nt
Organism: Podarcis lilfordi (Lilford's wall lizard)
Lineage: Eukaryota; Metazoa; Chordata; Lepidosauria; Squamata; Lacertidae
Source: the annotation of a GenBank genome assembly
GGUAGAAUCGUAGCUCAGUGGUAGAGCACAGGCUUUGCAUGCAAAAGGUCCCAGGUUCGAGUCCCUGUAUCU